UUGGACAUACUUUGAUUUAGAAUUCCUACGCUUUACCUUGUUAUAUGAAAAUGGCAAAGCGUUUGGAUUCUGAAACAAAUUGUUU
Musca domestica (house fly) is the source of this 85-nucleotide non-coding RNA. The record is from Rfam. NCBI's taxonomy places the organism in Eukaryota, Metazoa, Arthropoda, Insecta, Diptera, Muscidae.